This 482-nucleotide ribosomal RNA is filed under the name uncultured bacterium. RNAcentral describes it as "partial 16S ribosomal RNA". It matches the Rfam family "Bacterial small subunit ribosomal RNA", at positions 28 to 523 of the family's 1533-position model. The record is from RNAcentral.
AGUGAACGUUGGCGGCGUGGAUUAGGCAUGCAAGUCGAGCGAGAACCGUAGCAAUACGGGGACAGCGGCGAAAGGGACAGUAAUGUGUAGGUACCUACCUCCGGGUUCGGGAUAGCUGCGGGAAACUGCAGGUAAUACCGAAUCACGUCUCCGGACCAAAGGUGUGAUUCCACCUGGAGAGGGGCCUGCAUCCUAUUAGCUGGUUGGCGGGGUAACGGCCCACCAACGCGACGAUGGGUAGCGGGGGUGAGAGCACGACCCGCGUCAUUGGGGCUGAGACACUGCCCAGACACCUACGGGUGGCUGCAGUCGAGGAUCUUCGGCAAUGUGCGCAAGCCUGACCGAGCGACGCCGCGUGCGGGAUGAAGGCCUUCGGGUUGUAAACCGCUGUCGUAGAGGAGGAAGUGCAGGGGGGUUCUCCCCUCUGUUUGACCUAUUCUAGGAGGAAGGACGGGCUAAGUUCGUGCCAGCAGCCGCGGUAA